This is a long non-coding RNA of Gambusia affinis (western mosquitofish), 671 nucleotides long. RefSeq lists it as uncharacterized. NCBI's taxonomy places the organism in Eukaryota, Metazoa, Chordata, Actinopteri, Cyprinodontiformes, Poeciliidae. The record is from RefSeq and is a predicted model, not a curated record. The transcript has 3 exons.
CAGAGAAGCUCUCUUUUCCAUUUUGUGCAGCUUUUUAUCUUCCUGUGUAUCUCCUGAGCUCUUCAUGAUGAUCACACACAGACACAUUCAGCUCUUGCAGCAGCUCCCACUCUCAGCCUUCCUCACAGCUAAACAAGACCAGCCUAAACUUUGUGAAAAGGAAAACUCCUCCAGCUGAUGCAACGGCUGAGUCAACUUUCCAAUGAUUGACCAUAUUCAUAAGCACAUCACGGAAACAUACGUGCUGUAUAACUGGUUGUUUGUGAGAUCAGAAUGAAGUGACCAGUUUCAUUGCUGGGAUGUAGCUUCUUGGAAAAUCAGCCUGAUUAAAGGGAGUAAAGAGCUGCCACACCGACCCCCUUCCUCCAUGCUUUCACAGAGAUCUUUGAGAGCUGCUUUGUUUCUACCGCCAAUCUGAUUCCAUUAGCCGCUCCAGCGCACAAACACACUCUUGUUUUACUUAACAGUGUUUCCAUUUUUUAAAAGGGUAAAAUUAAAAUCUAAAAGUCCUGAUGAAAGCUCACAGGACCGUCACCAGGAACCUUCCAGCAGCUCAUCAACUUUUCUGGGCAGAAUCUACCAGUGGCCAUACUGAAAACCUGGUUGUGAUUAUCAUACGGAAAGCUCAGUGGAAGCAGAAAGCAAUGCAUAGAACUACAGUCUACAUAAAG